AGAGUGAACGCUGGCGGCAGGCCUAACACAUGCAAGUCGAGCGGCAGCACAGUCGUAGCAAUACGAUGGGUGGCGAGCGGCGGACGGGUGAGGAAUGCAUCGGAAUCUACCUUGUUGUGGGGGAUAACGUAGGGAAACUUACGCUAAUACCGCAUGAGACCGUAAGGUGAAAGCGGGGGACCUGUGAGGGCCUCGCGCGACAAGAUGAGCCGAUGCCGGAUUAGCUAGUUGGUGGGGUAAAGGCCCACCAAGGCGACGAUCCGUAGCUGGUCUGAGAGGAUGAUCAGCCACACUGGAACUGAGACACGGUCCAGACUCCGUACGGGAGGCAGCAGGUGGGGAAUAUUGGACAAGUGGGCGCAAGCCGUGAUCCAGCCAUCGCCGCGUGUGUGAAGAGGCCUUGGUUGUAAAGCGUACGUUUGUUAGGGAAGUAAAGUCCGUAGG
RNAcentral lists this ribosomal RNA (444 nucleotides) under uncultured soil bacterium. Its description in RNAcentral is "bacterial SSU rRNA". It matches the Rfam family "Bacterial small subunit ribosomal RNA", at positions 26 to 460 of the family's 1533-position model. The record is from RNAcentral.